AAUUAGUAUUUGCUUCACUUUUGAGUUUCAUCCAAAUAUUUUCUUUGUGAAGGACCAUAGAAUGGAAGGUUACUGUGGCAUGACUUGAAGAAAGGCGAUUUCUAUCAUCUAAUGGCAACUCCAAAGUCCUUUCACUUAUCAUCUAAGUCUUGUCAUCCAUCAAUAUGAUUCAAGCAUUUGAAAUGAUGGCAAUUGCUGUGGUAGGGAACAACCUCAUAUGUUUGUCUUUUCAGCUUUCAGACUUUUACUGCAUGUCUGUCUUCAAUUAGUUGGGUUUCUGGUGGUGCUAUGUAGCUUAUAAUUUUCUACUAUCAUUUCGAAUUAUCUGCCAUAGUGUUCUUGCACCUGCAAGUUAUGACAAAAAUCUGGAUUGCA
Long non-coding RNA from Magnolia sinica, 375 nucleotides. RefSeq lists it as uncharacterized. The record is from RefSeq and is a predicted model, not a curated record. The transcript has 2 exons. Lineage: Eukaryota; Viridiplantae; Streptophyta; Magnoliopsida; Magnoliales; Magnoliaceae.